GAUGAAGAACGCAGCGAAAUGCGAUAAGUAAUGUGAAUUGCAGAAUUCAGUGAAUCAUCGAAUCUUUGAACGCACAUUGCGCCCGCCAGUAUUCUGGCGGGCAUGCCUGUCUGAGCGUCAUUUCAACCCUCAUGCCCCUAGGGCGUGGUGUUGGGGAUCGGCCAAAGCCCGCGAGGGACGGCCGGCCCCUAAAUCUAGUGGCGGACCCGUCGUGGCCUCCUCUGCGAAGUAGUGAUAUUCCGCAUCGGAGAGCGAUGAGCCCCUGCCGUUAAACCCCCAACUUUCCAAGGUUGACCUCACAUCAGGUAGGAAUACCCGCUGAACUUAAGCAUAUCAAUAAGCGGAGGA
This 348-nucleotide unclassified non-coding RNA is filed under the name soil metagenome. RNAcentral's name for it is "partial contains 5.8S ribosomal RNA, internal transcribed spacer 2, and large subunit ribosomal RNA". The stretch from base 1 to 120 matches the Rfam family "5.8S ribosomal RNA", at positions 35 to 154 of the family's 154-position model. The record is from RNAcentral.